GGGGAAUAUUGGACAAUGGGCGCAAGCCUGAUCCAGCCAUACCGCGUGGGUGAAGAAGGCCUUCGGGUUGUAAAGCCCUUUUGUUGGGAAAGAAAAGCAUUCGGUUAAUACCCGAUUGUUCUGACGGUACCCAAAGAAUAAGCACCGGCUAACUUCGUGCCAGCAGCCGCGGUAAUACGAAGGGUGCAAGCGUUACUCGGAAUUACUGGGCGUAAAGCGUGCGUAGGUGGUUGUUUAAGUCUGUCGUGAAAGCCCUGGGCUCAACCUGGGAAUUGCGAUGGAAACUGGGCGACUAGAGUGUGGCAGAGGGUAGUGGAAUUCCUGGUGUAGCAGUGAAAUGCGUAGAGAUCAGGAGGAACAUCCGUGGCGAAGGCGACUGCCUGGGCCAACACUGACACUGAGGCACGAAAGCGUGGGGAGCAAAC
Molecule: ribosomal RNA, 425 nt
Filed under: uncultured bacterium
Lineage: Bacteria
Description: bacterial SSU rRNA
Rfam family: Bacterial small subunit ribosomal RNA
Source: RNAcentral